RNAcentral lists this ribosomal RNA (576 nucleotides) under uncultured bacterium. RNAcentral's name for it is "partial 16S ribosomal RNA". It matches the Rfam family "Bacterial small subunit ribosomal RNA", at positions 355 to 920 of the family's 1533-position model. The record is from RNAcentral.
UGGGGAAUAUUGCACAAUGGGCGCAAGCCUGAUGCAGCCAUGCCGCGUGUGUGAAGAAGGCCUUCGGGUUGUAAAGCACUUUCAGCGAGGAGGAAGGUGGUGAACUUAAUACGUUCAUCAAUUGACGUUACUCGCAGAAGAAGCACCGGCUAACUCCGUGCCAGCAGCCGCGGUAAUACGGAGGGUGCAAGCGUUAAUCGGAAUUACUGGGCGUAAAGCGCACGCAGGCGGUUUGUUAAGUCAGAUGUGAAAUCCCCGGGCUCAACCUGGGAACUGCAUUUGAAACUGGCAAGCUAGAGUCUCGUAGAGGGGGGUAGAAUUCCAGGUGUAGCGGUGAAAUGCGUAGAGAUCUGGAGGAAUACCGGUGGCGAAGGCGGCCCCCUGGACGAAGACUGACGCUCAGGUGCGAAAGCGUGGGGAGCAAAACAGGAUUAGAUACCCUGGUAGUCCACGCUGUAAAACGAUGUCGAUUUUGGAGGUUGUGCCCUUGAGGCGUGGCUUCCGGAGCUAACGCGUUAAAUCGACCGCCUGGGGAGUACGGCCGCAAGGUUAAAACUUAAAUGAAUUGACGGGGUC